RNAcentral lists this ribosomal RNA (258 nucleotides) under uncultured Leptotrichia sp. Its description in RNAcentral is "partial 16S ribosomal RNA". It matches the Rfam family "Bacterial small subunit ribosomal RNA", at positions 96 to 354 of the family's 1533-position model. Lineage: Bacteria; Fusobacteriati; Fusobacteriota; Fusobacteriia; Fusobacteriales; Leptotrichiaceae. The record is from RNAcentral.
UGGCGGACGGGUGAGUAACGCGUAAAGAACUUGCCCUUUAGACUGGGAUAACAGAGGGAAGCUUCUGAUAAUACUGGAUAAGUUAGUAUAUCGCAUGAUAUGCAAAUGAAAGCUACGGCACUAAAGGAGAGCUUUGCGUCCUAUUAGCUAGUUGGUAAGGUAAGAGCUUACAAGGCGAUGAUAGGUAGCCGGCCUGAGAGGGUGGACGGCCACAAGGGGACUGAGAUACGGCCCUUACUCCUACGGGAGGCAGCAGGA